Molecule: long non-coding RNA, 825 nt
Organism: Maniola jurtina (meadow brown)
Lineage: Eukaryota; Metazoa; Arthropoda; Insecta; Lepidoptera; Nymphalidae
Exons: 2
Source: RefSeq, a predicted model, not a curated record
AUGGCCAUCAAAUGAAGACCGAAAAGUGACCGGUGGCUUAAAAACGUAUCAUAGAAUUGCGUUUUAUUAUACCAAUAGCAUUUUUAAAACUCAAUUUUUAUGUUGAUAUGAAUUAAGAUGUAUAUAAAAACAAUGCAACUUUUUAGGCUAACUUAUGAUAUUUUAUCAUAAAAAUUUACUUUCAUAGCUUAUAACAUUGAAUUCUAACGUUAUUAUCAGUUAUGCAAAAUCAAUAACUAAACGCAAAGAAUGAACAAUACUCGAGCUUACUGCUUCUCAACAAUAGAUGGCGUUAGUGGACCUAUAUUUUCCUAUGUUUUUCUAUAUUGUCUAGGGUUAAAUCGAUGUCAGUGUCGCUGUAAGUGACAACUGACAAGUUACGAAAUAAAAAUAACAAUACCUAAUUACCUAAUUAUCCAAAUAAAAGUGAUUAAAAGCUAGGUAUACAAAUAACAAAAUUCUUUCUGGCGCUCAACUAUUAGUAUCGACCAUUUUUUCGCUUGUCUCCAUUCCACUCGUCACUGAAGAAGUCUCUGGUAGACCCUAUUGGCAUGAGGUUUGCCUUGGCCAGCCAGCACGUCAGCAAGUAUAGGAGAUGAGGCCGAGGAUGAAAGCCGUGAACAUUAACCAGUGGAGCGUUUGCUAUGUGAAAUUGACAAGAACAAACAACCCAAGCACAAUAACACAAAGGAGGAGCAGCACCUUGAAAUCGAUAAAGGUCGAGUGCACCUGCUUGGAAGUGAAGAUUGCAGAACAGGCAAUGCAGAAAUUGCCAAAAUAUUAUCCUUAACCUUAAAACCCUACUUGGUGUAAUAAAACACCCUA